RNAcentral lists this ribosomal RNA (777 nucleotides) under uncultured Neocallimastigales. Its description in RNAcentral is "partial large subunit ribosomal RNA". It matches the Rfam family "Eukaryotic large subunit ribosomal RNA", at positions 20 to 643 of the family's 3401-position model. Lineage: Eukaryota; Fungi; Neocallimastigomycota; Neocallimastigomycetes; Neocallimastigales. The record is from RNAcentral.
CAUCACUACGCUAGAUGCAUAUCAAUAAGCGGAGGAAAAGAAACUAACUAGGAUUCCCCUAAGUAACGGCGAGUGAAGCGGGAAGAGCUCAAAUUUGAAAUCUUAAAGGGUUCUACCUUGACGAAUUGUAGUUUAAAGAAGUGUUUUCUGUUGGAGUUUCGGUAAAAGUUCUUUGGAAUAGGACAUCAUAGAGGGUGAGAAUCCCGUAUUUGACCAUUACUUUCCAACUUUGUGAUACACUUUCAAAGAGUCGGAUUGUUUGGGAAUGCAGUCCAAAAUGAGUGGUAAAUUUCAUCUAAAGCUAAAUAUUGGCGAGAGACCGAUAGCGAACAAGUACCGUGAGGGAAAGAUGAAAAGAACUUUGAAAAGAGAGUUAAACAGUACGUGAAAUUGUCAAAAGGGAAGCGUUUGACACCAGUGUUGUUUUUCCUGAAAAUCAAUUAAGAAUGGCCGGAUUUUAAGUUUCAUGACCUUAAAAGCUUGUUUCUUAUUUUUCUUGUCUUUCUUAAUGCACUUUUCGGUUAACAAGUCAACAUCAAUUUCUUUUGUUGUAAAAGGUUAAGAGGAAGGUGGCUUUACUUUCGGGUAAAGUGUUUAUAGCCUUUUAACUCUGCAAUCGGAGAGAUUGAGGUCUGCAGCGUAGAUCCUUCGGGGCUAGAUACGUUUGUGCUAAGUUAUAGCUUUUCAUAGACAACUUGUUGACUAUGUUAAGUCUUGUAGCUUACUCGCUUAUGCUAUUUUACCUACGCUUAGGAUGUUGACACACGCGCGUGCUCG